Molecule: long non-coding RNA, 475 nt
Filed under: Helianthus annuus (common sunflower)
Lineage: Eukaryota; Viridiplantae; Streptophyta; Magnoliopsida; Asterales; Asteraceae
Source: RNAcentral
ACCAUUGUCUUGAGUAUGAAAUGAGAAUGCAGGGUUAAAGAAUUUGGAAUGCACGAAUGUACACGGAAAGCUUAUUCGUGGGGAUUAGUAUGGGAAGAAGGAACGCGGACUGGCUAUUGAUUACGUAGGUCUAGUUUAGGAAUGAUGUCAUUGUAUCUAACCGAUGUAUAUGUAUGUGGUGAAUGCAGGUGGCGUGGACUUAGCAUCAUUACGAAGAAAAGAAGGUUUGAAGAUCGAGUCAAGAGCGAGGGUUGUACGGGAAGGAUCAGUCACAUAAUUUGACAAAAAAAAUAUAGGUCUUGAAGUAUUAAUAUAACGGGACGUGGUAAAUUCCUAUUUAAUGAGUGUAUGAAUUUUUGUCUUGGAACCUUCCUGUAAGUAUUAUGUCUAGUAAAGAACGAAAUUUUUGGGCUCUUAUUUUCCGCUGUGUCGUAUUUUAAGUUAUUACACGUUAGUCUUACACGGAAUUGUUCUU